This 502-nucleotide unclassified non-coding RNA is filed under the name uncultured Diversispora. RNAcentral describes it as "SSU rRNA". It matches the Rfam family "Eukaryotic small subunit ribosomal RNA", at positions 591 to 1092 of the family's 1831-position model. The record is from RNAcentral. Lineage: Eukaryota; Fungi; Glomeromycota; Glomeromycetes; Diversisporales; Diversisporaceae.
CCAAUAGCGUAUAUUAAAGUUGUUGCAGUUAAAAAGCUCGUAGUUGAACUUCGGGGUCUACCCAUUGGUCAGGCUUAAUUGUCUGCACUGGUGAGAUGGAUCUCUACCUUCUGAGGAACUUUCAUGCCAUUUAUUUGGUGUGAUGGGAAAUCAGGACUGUUACUUUGAAAAAAUUAGAGUGUUUAAAGCAGACUAUCGUCUGAAUACAUGAGCAUGGAAUAAUGAAAUAGGACGGACUGAUUCUAUUUCGUUGGUUUCUAGGAUCACCGUAAUGAUUAAUAGGGAUAGUUGGGGGCAUUAGUAUUCAAUUGUCAGAGGUGAAAUUCUUGGAUUUAUUGAAGACUAACUACUGCGAAAGCAUUUGCCAAGGAUGUUUUCAUUAAUCAAGAACGAAAGUUAGGGGAUCGAAGACGAUCAGAUACCGUCGUAGUCUUAACCAUAAACUAUGCCGACUAGGGAUCGGACGAAGUUAAUUUUAUAAUGACGCGUUCGGCACCUUACG